UGGAAGCCCACUUUUCCUGAAAUUGAGAUAAUAUCUAAGCAGAGAUUUUCUCAAGUGAAACACACCACUACCACAUGUGCAGUUUGAUCCAUUCAGCUUCCUCCGUUUCCCAAGAGGGCGGAUGGAUGAGUUCAGCGAGGUUCGGACAGGAAAUAUCAUGUGCGUAGCCCCAGAGAGAUGGCGCUCGCAUCGAGCUGUCCGCUUUCUCUUCAAGUCAACUCGCAUCAUAUGGAAGAAAUCAAGCACAAAAUUUUUACCAUUGAACUCCACCUCUGUCACUGAUUUCUUUAUUCGGAGAUCUUUCUUAGCCAUUGUAACAAUGUUCUCAGGGAAAUCAGUCCACUGACCCUUCUGAUAGUACAUCAAACGUUGUGGAAGCCCACUUUUCCUGAAAUUGAGAUAAUAUCUAAGCAGAGAUUUUCUUAGGUGAAAUGCACAACCACCACACAUGCUGUUUGAUCCAUUCAGCUUCCUCCGUUUUCCAAGAGGGCGGAUGGAUGAGUUCAGCGAGGUUCGGACAGGAAAUAUCAUGUGAGUAGCCCCAGAGAAAUGGGUCUCACAUCGAGCUGCCCGUUUUCUCUUCAAGUCAACAACAAUGUUUUGGCUCCUAUCCAAUACCUUUCCGUAUUUUGUUUCCAUUUCUACCUACAGGAUCAAUCCCUAUCCACUGGUCUAAAGCCAAAGGUUCAAAGAUAACAGCUAUGUGCAACUCGGUCUUGAAUCCGCCUCAGAGAGACCACG
This 741-nucleotide long non-coding RNA is filed under the name Nicotiana benthamiana. RNAcentral's name for it is "long non-coding RNA (NBEN_LNC005830)". The record is from RNAcentral. Lineage: Eukaryota; Viridiplantae; Streptophyta; Magnoliopsida; Solanales; Solanaceae.